CGCGUUUUUCGCCCAGGCGGAGCUCGACCGCCGACUGAAGUCCUGAACGACUUCGUGGACCAGCAUCGCGCCACCCACGGAGUCGAGCCGAUCUGCAAGGCACUGCAGAUCGCCCCG
Molecule: non-coding RNA, 117 nt
Organism: Cupriavidus sp. SK-3
Lineage: Bacteria; Pseudomonadati; Pseudomonadota; Betaproteobacteria; Burkholderiales; Burkholderiaceae
Source: Rfam